GCUAGCAGCUAGGCGAGCAUUAUAAUGUGUUACAAAGUGACACACAUUCGUCACGGAAGUAACGGCUGGACUACAGUAGAGCUGUUUGUGAGCAGUGUUUUCUGUUGGAGAUGGUAACUCCCUUUGGGGGGGGACUUUGGGCUUUUUCACUUUGUAAACCUAUAACAUGCACAAAAAGAUAUGUAACACAAUAAAGGAAAGGGGGAAAGCCAAAAAGGAUAAUGUGAGCACUUUAAAUCGUGAGGCGCAUACUUAUCCAAUAUGGGCCUAAUUCCUGGGGAUGCUCAACCACUAAACUAAACGUUUACCGUUGACAGGAGAGGAAGGGGUAAACUGAGACACAUUGUGUGUUUGUAUAAGUCCUGGUUCCCCCGCAUAUCUCCCGCAUGCUACUUCUCUUGGAUUACCAAGGUGUGUCGGCCUUUGCAAACAUUCUUGUAAGGUGUCUUUGUGUUCUAGUCCUUUUUAUUGUGAAACUUUGAAGAAGUUGCCUUUUUUUUUUUUACAGCCCAUAAACUAUACAGACUUAGGGACAGCCAAUUGUGUUGGCUUUCUAUGUCAUCAGCUCACUUGCAAAGCAAACAGGGAUUUAGAGUUGCUGGCUUCGGCAGAGAUAUAUGCAUUUUUCUGGUCACUGAGGGAGUUUGUGCGCUGUAGGGUGUGAAUGUUCACAGUGGAUCAACUGACUGGACAACUUUAUGGGUGUUAUUUUCAUGGCGAUCAGCCAGGUUGUAAACAAACCAACCGUUAUCCAUAUUAUUUAAACCACAUGUUCGGAGGCAAACUUUAAAGUGAGUGCACCUGGAAUACCUAAAAGCAGGUAUUCCCCAAAGGGACCUAUCCUUUAAAACCUGUCUUUAGCAUCUUUCUCUGAUAGUAUAUUAAUACAGCCAAAACUACAGAUACAAAAUGUAAGUGGUUUAAGUAAUGUGUUUUUCUUCCUCAACGUUUCCCCAGUUAAGGACACACUGUUGCAGAUACUUGAUAAUCAAGAAGAACGAGGAGAACCAAAAACAGACCUGGACUCUUUAGGAUCUUUUUCUGAGGCUCCAAAGUACUCUUAGCUAAGCGUAGAUUGUAGUAUUAAGACAUUCCCAGCAUUACGAUGACAAUCUUUUGAACUCAAUGCUGAAAGAAAAAAAAAGAAAAUCUUGUGCAAGGUUGGUCUCCAUGCUGCUCCUGUCGCUGUUUCUACACGGACAGGAGGUAAAAAAAGGAAAAACGGCUUGGCUUUCUUUACGACAAAGGAUCGGGAGCAGAUGGACACAUGUUUUCUGUGAAUGAACAAGCUAAUGGAAGCCCUGAACAACUGGUUUGCCUAAAGGCUCUGGAGGGGGGGACGGGACAUGUGCUGGACUCUUAUUGUGUAAAAUUACUGUACAUUUUUUCUCUCAUGCUCUUUAUGUGCUCUCAAGUGGAAUUGGGUGGGAGUCUGUUUGUUUCCAAGCAAACAUAAGAGUGUGUGUGUGCGUGUGUGUCUGCGUGCAUGCAUGUGUGUAACUGCAAGAUUGUGUGUGUGUGUGCAUGCGUGUGUGCGUCUGUGCGUGUGCAUGGGAGUGCCUAUGCGUGCACACUGUCUGCGUGUGCAUGCACGGGAGUACGUGUAUGCGUGUGUCUGUCUGUGCGUGUGCAUGGGAGUGAUUGUAUGUAAGAUUGUGUGUGCAUGGGAGUGCGUGUGUGUGAGUGAGUGAGUAAGUGCAUGUGUGUGUGUGCCUGUGCAUGAAAGUGCGUGUGUGUGCGCAUGCAUGUGUGUGUCUGUGCGUGUGCAUGGGAGGGAGGGAGAGUGUUUAAGAUUGUGCGCGUCUGCAAGAUUGUGUGUGCCUGUGCAUGUGUGUGUUCGUGCGUGUGUGUGCACGUGUGAGUACGAGCAUAUGGAUGCGUGUGAGGGAGAGAAAACACGACAUACAAAUUCUUUGUGUCAACUUAUAGAGACUUCAAAGAUUAGAGUUCAAAUAAAAUUGCUGACAUCUCUAUCA
This is a long non-coding RNA of Etheostoma spectabile (orangethroat darter), 1976 nucleotides long. RefSeq lists it as uncharacterized. NCBI's taxonomy places the organism in Eukaryota, Metazoa, Chordata, Actinopteri, Perciformes, Percidae. The transcript is spliced from 2 exons. The record is from RefSeq and is a predicted model, not a curated record.